CCCUUAGAUGUUCUGGGCCGCACGCGCGCUACACUGAUGCAUUCAACGAGUCUAAAACCUGCUCUGAUAGGGGUGGGUAAUCUUUUGAAUGUGCAUCGUGAUUGGGAUAGAUGAUUGCAAUUUUUCAUCUUCAACGAGGAAUGCCUAGUAAACGCAAGUCAUCAGCUUGCAUUGAUUACGUCCCUGCCCUUUGUACACACCGCCCGUCGCUCCUACCGAUUGAAUGUUCCGGUGAGCUCUUCGGACUGCGCGGUCUGCAGUUUCUGCGUUCCGUGCGGAAAGUUGCGCAAACCUUAACAUUUAGAGGAAGGAGAAGUCGUAACA
This 324-nucleotide ribosomal RNA is filed under the name uncultured eukaryote. RNAcentral's name for it is "partial 18S ribosomal RNA". It matches the Rfam family "Eukaryotic small subunit ribosomal RNA", at positions 1470 to 1796 of the family's 1831-position model. The record is from RNAcentral.